Molecule: long non-coding RNA, 1957 nt
Filed under: Scophthalmus maximus (turbot)
Lineage: Eukaryota; Metazoa; Chordata; Actinopteri; Pleuronectiformes; Scophthalmidae
Description: lncRNA (ENSSMAG00000025998.1)
Source: RNAcentral
CCUGAAACCUAGACGGAGACGUGCGAGAAACAGAUUUUGAACAUGAAAAGAGCAGCUGUGUUGGCUGAUACAGCCCUCUAUCCCCAGGCUGCCACCUCUCCCCUCUCCAACGGCCUUUACUUAACGGAACCUGGUUGCAGAGGCAGCUGGCUGAGCAUGUCUGCUCCUGCUGAAAUCUCACCACAGAUGCGGCUGCUUCAUAAUGACUAUAAUCAGAGCAAGAUGUUGACAGCAGGAUCGUUUGUUUUUGGAUGUCAGGAUAUACAUCCAAGUGAAAACACGGAGACAGGGACAAAAAUACUGGGAGACAGAGGAGGAAGAUGAGACAAAAUCAUUGAAAGUAGUAACAUGUAUGACAUUAAAUUUAGCCCUUUGGUGGAAAAUAUGUUAUAUUCCAGCUGUCAAACUUUCAUGAAUAUGUCCUGAAAUGAAAGGGGUAAAAAUCCCUCAAUGAAUCAAGAUGGUAAAAUCCAAAUUCCCAGAACAUCCACCUUAUUUCCAGUGGUACAUUGAUUUUGUGCCCUCAAUACACAGAUAUUUGUGUUUCCCAUUCAUAUAAGUCACAGAAUCACCUUUCUUGUCCAAGUAAAUUUAGGGAGUACCCUUCAUUCAGUACUCAUUUUAUCCCACCCUCCAAAUCUAAUCAAGGAUUUCCAUCCUGCUUAAUAAUUCCACAAUCAUCAAACUCUUGGCUGACAUACUGUGCACCAACAGCAACAACUCUCAGUUAAUACCCACUCCCUUCCAGAAGUGUUAUCCUUGAGUUUUUCUCAGGAAGCACAGUACAAGAUGUAUAGAGAAUAGUGAGUGCAGAGUUUUUUAAUGAUACAUACAAUUUGUAAUCGUUUAUAAGUAUUAUAAAGAUAGUAUUGAAAGAUAGAAAGACAAGCCAGUCAUAUUUUUUGUCAUAAUAUCCAGUGUUAAAUUUCAUGUAGAAUCAUUCAUUGUGGAUAUGAAGAUGGAAAUUAGAUGCUUGCAUACCCUGAAGUGUAUAUUUCACCAAACAAUUUUCUGGUAAACAAUCAAAAGUGCACUGUGCGCGUUCCUCAGAUCUUACCAAUGUCUUGGGAAUAUUUAAAACCUUUCAAAUUGGAUAUGAUUACAUAAUUCAUAUCCUUGUACCCUAGAUCUGUCUGACGAUCACCCCCUACUCGCCACUGUUGUAACUAUUGCACUCAUGGCUUCCCACAAUGCUUUGUGAAAAGUACUUUACAACCGAUGGUCACUAACCGAGCAAUCAUGCAUUGCGCUUGGGGCACUGAUAAACUAAAUUGUGUGUAACCCCAGGAGGGGGGUGAAAUCUGACCAUAACAGUCCGACAAGGAGAAUUUAGAUAAUGUAUGUAUGUAUGUAUGUAUGUAUUUAUGUAAAAAAAAAUAUUUAUAAUUGGUAUCACUUGUAUUUUUACGGACAGGUUAAAGCGGUUUUGUAAAGUGUUUUUCGAUAGGUUGAUUGUUUAUGUCGACAGGCUCGAGACAAAUCUGUGAUUUGUGGCAAUAAAGUAAUACAAUAAGAACUGAACUGUGCAUCACUACACUUAAACAAGUUAAUACUAGGUUUAAAACAUUUAAAAUAUAUUAUGGGAUUGUUGUUUUUUUAUUUUGCCCAUGAGUUCACUAUAUAGUGCACUACAUAGAAUUCCCUAAGAUAGUGAGUAGGGGGCAGGGAAUAAGUGGGUGAUUUCAGACACAAACACUAUCUUCUUCUCUUUCUUCUUCAUCAUUGCCUUUGCUGGCACAGGGCUACAUUUGUUGAUGCGUUACUGUCGAUCAGCUGUGAAUAGCGCCACCUUUGUCCUAAUGUGAGAGUACAAUUCAAACAAAACAGGGACCCAUUCAUACGAACAUUGUUCCAUAGCACUACUAGUGGUCAAAAUCUCCACAGGGCACCUUUAAGUAACAGUAUUACUUGAUAUAAUGAUUCCUCUUGCAUUCUUUUGUACUCCAACUAUACCCAA